Molecule: ribosomal RNA, 341 nt
Filed under: Aedes rubrithorax
Lineage: Eukaryota; Metazoa; Arthropoda; Insecta; Diptera; Culicidae
Description: eukaryotic LSU rRNA
Rfam family: 5.8S ribosomal RNA (bases 1-129)
Source: RNAcentral
GCUCGUGGAUCGAUGAAGACCGCAGUUAAAUGCGCGUCAGAAUGUGAACUGCAGGACACAUGAACACCGACAUGUUGAACGCAUAUUGCACACCGUACAACAUUACGAUGUACACAUUUUUGAGUGCCUAUAUUUGUCCAUUCCACCACGUACGCGCAGUGACGUUUUCUUGGCCCUCAGUAAAACGUUGAAGAUAAUCAUGCGCACUCCACCCAGGUGCGGUUGAUGAAUACAUCCCUUAGACCAACGCGCUUGGUUAUGUUGUUUUCAUCGGCAGGCCAGCCGGCCACCGCCACCCAGUAGGCCUCAAAUAAUGUGUGACUACCCCCUAAAUUUAAGCA